Molecule: long non-coding RNA, 1412 nt
Filed under: Monodelphis domestica (gray short-tailed opossum)
Lineage: Eukaryota; Metazoa; Chordata; Mammalia; Didelphimorphia; Didelphidae
Description: lncRNA (ENSMODG00000048016.1)
Source: RNAcentral
GAUAUGAAGACAGCUGUGAGGGAGAGCAGAGAGCAUCCUGGACUGGGAACCAGGAGACCUGGGUUUGAUUCCCAACUUCCUCUCAAAGCUAUAACAAAAAAGAAUAACUAGCAUUUUAAUAGUACUUCAAGGUCUGUAAAAUGCUUUAUAAAUAUUCUCUCCUUUAUCCUCACAGCAACCUUGGGAGGUAUUUAUUGUUGUUCAGUCAUUAUCAGUCUUGUCUGACUCUUCAUGACCCAUUUGGGCUUUUCUUGGCAGAGGUACUGGAGUGGUUUGCCAUUUCUUUCUUUGGCUCAUUUGACAGUUGAGGAAACUGAGGCAAACAGGGUUAAGUGACUCGCUUAGGGUCACACAGCUAUUAAGUGUCUAACUAACGGGAUUUGAACUCAGGAAGAUGAGUCUCUCCUGAUUCCAGGCCUGCUGCUUUAUCCACUGAGUCAUCUCGCUGCCCUCGGAGAAACAAACCCAGUGGCUUUUGGAAGAAGAAGCACCUACCCUCUCUGUGGAGUUCAGAGCCAGGAUUGGAGGAAGCCUUGCCUUCAUCUCUUGACUGGGCAGCUGCUAGACUACUCCAGCUCAUAGCUUUUUGGGACCAGAACUUUGUCUGCUAGGCUGACACAUAGAGGUAGAGCUUAGACCUCUGCUGUUUCAACUUGAUUGACUUCAAUAAGCAUCCAUUAAGCUUCUGUUGCCUGCCAAAUACUAGGCACCAGGGACCAGGAAUCUUUACCUGUUGGAUGAGGAAAAUCUUUCUCCCAACGCAGGUUGACACUCAAUCUGCAACUUAUAGCCUUAGGGCUGAGAUUUUUUCUCCUCAGAAGGAUCUGUGGACAGAUUUCAAGGCAUCUGUGAACUUGGAUGCUGGGAGCAUCUACUCUACAUGCAGACAUAUCCUAAGGACUGUGAGAGAGACAGAGAAAGAGCAGAAGCCCAGGCCUGUCUUCAGAGAGCUCAGUCUGGGGGAGGCCAAAGAAGUGAAUCUAAAGUCCUCCAAACCCUUCGAUACUCAUAAGGUCCUCCAUUGGCCAAAGGAGGGGAGGCCAGAUUCCAUUCAAUUAUACAAACAUUUAUUGAGGAACUACUAAAUGUAGAGCACUCUGCUUUGGAUGGAGGAAGGAUCCAAACUUCACCAAAGACGGGAUACUUACCCUUGUAGGGAUUAUACUCUAGGAGAUGGAGAAGACAGAAAUGCUGAAAAUGGUAUACAUAAUGUUCUAUUGCAAACCAUUAAAGAAAUACAAACAACGUGCUAUGUAAGGAUCAAGAGGGAGUUGUUACUGAUGGGGGCUCAAGGAAAGCUUCUUGGAAGCCAUGGUGUUAGAGUUGGGUUUUAAAGAGUGGGCAAGAGUUUCACAGACCACAUGAGAGUAGGAAGGUGUUCUUUCCAGGCAUAAACUAUAAACAUUCUGGGG